Molecule: ribosomal RNA, 253 nt
Filed under: uncultured bacterium
Lineage: Bacteria
Description: partial 16S ribosomal RNA
Rfam family: Bacterial small subunit ribosomal RNA
Source: RNAcentral
GACGAACCGUGCGAACGUUGUUCGGAAUCACUGGGCUUAAAGGGCGCGUAGGCGGGCGGGCAAGUCAGAGGUGAAAGCCCACGGCUCAACCGUGGAAGUGCCCCUGAUACUGCUCGUCUGGAGGGGGAUAGGGGCGUGCGGAACUUCCGGUGGAGCGGUGAAAUGCGCAGAUAUCGGGAGGAACACCGGUGGCGAAGGCGGUUCUCUGGGCCUGUACUGACGCUGAGGAGCGAAAGCGUGGGGAGCGAACAGG